UGUAACUAUUAAGAUAGGUAUCAUCAUAAAAUUGCCAGCGUUCAUCGUUCUUCAACCAUAAAGAUUCUUGGCGUAGAUCUGGGUAUGAACUGAAACUCCUUAAUCUGUUCAAGGAACUGAACGCCGGCCGAUCUUGAUACUGAUCAUACCAUCUAUUUGCAGGAGUUGAAGGAUAUGAUCUUUGCAAAUCUUGUGCUCCAUUUGAUAAGCUGCGAUAGCUUCUACUUCCAGAGUUGCUCUUAUCACCAUUGUUGUUGUUAAGAAAUCCACAGACAAUAGCAAACAUUACAAGAACAAAAUUAAGGUAAUCCCAGCUUUUCUUGAUCAACUGUGGUCUAAAAAUCUGGGAAAUCAAAGAAACGAAUGAAGGGACAAUAAUGAAAACAAAAACAAAUGCUAAAACUAGUAAAACUAUGAGAAGGACACCGGAGUUGAGGAAGAAAGAGGAGGCUCGGCUGCGUAGACGGUGGCGGCGGUCGGUGGUUUGCAGCCAGAAAGGUGGCAUGUCUUCUUCGUCUUCCAUUAUUCUUGAGGUUUUGAUCUUUGCUUUUGAGUUUUUGAUAAAGUGGAAGAAGGGGAGAGCUUUUUUCUAAGACACUUUCGGUUUGCUUUUGAUUUAUGCUUUUUAGAUGUUAGCUCUUUACAUAUAUAUAUGAAAAUGGAAAUUAAGAAUUAUGGGAAUGAUUGCUUUGCUUAUACAAUAAUAAAAAUAAAAUGAAGAAAAAUACUUAUCUGUUUAUAAUAAUUAUAAUAAAAUUCGUAAAAAAUAAAUAGAAAUAAUAUAUAAUUAUUUCUUGAUGGGUAUCAAUUUUCUUGUUUGAUUGGCUGUGACUGCAGGAAUGACAGCCAAGGCAUGGUUAUACGUGUAUGCAGCUGUAAAUGGAGACUAUUAGAAAUAUAUAAUUAUUUUUAUAUUAAAUUUAAAUUUUUAAUUAAAUAAGAUGUUAAUAGAUUUUGUAAUUAGGAC
Molecule: long non-coding RNA, 967 nt
Filed under: Manihot esculenta (cassava)
Lineage: Eukaryota; Viridiplantae; Streptophyta; Magnoliopsida; Malpighiales; Euphorbiaceae
Description: long non-coding RNA (MESC_LNC006347)
Source: RNAcentral